Molecule: ribosomal RNA, 431 nt
Filed under: uncultured Paracoccaceae bacterium
Lineage: Bacteria; Pseudomonadati; Pseudomonadota; Alphaproteobacteria; Rhodobacterales; Paracoccaceae
Description: bacterial SSU rRNA
Rfam family: Bacterial small subunit ribosomal RNA
Source: RNAcentral
AACGAACGCUGGCGGCAGGCCUAACACAUGCAAGUCGAGCGCUCACUUCGGUGGGAGCGGCGGACGAGUUAGUAACGCGUGGGAAUAUGCCCUUCUCUACGGAAUAGCCAUUGGAAACGAUGAGUAAUACCGUAUACGCCCUUCGGGGGAAAGAUUUAUCGGAGAAGGAUUAGCCCGCGUUAGAUUAGAUAGUUGGUGGGGUAAUGGCCUACCAAGUCUACGAUCUAUAGCUGGUUUUAGAGGAUGAUCAGCAACACUGGGACUGAGACACGGCCCAGACUCCUACGGGAGGCAGCAGUGGGGAAUCUUAGACAAUGGGCGCAAGCCUGAUCUAGCCAUGCCGCGUGUGUGAUGAAGGCCCUAGGGUCGUAAAGCACUUUCGCCAGGGAUGAUAAUGACAGUACCUGGUAAAGAAACCCCGGCUAACUCCG